This 253-nucleotide ribosomal RNA is filed under the name uncultured bacterium. RNAcentral describes it as "partial 16S ribosomal RNA". It matches the Rfam family "Bacterial small subunit ribosomal RNA", at positions 524 to 776 of the family's 1533-position model. The record is from RNAcentral.
UACGGGGGGGGCAAGCGUUGUUCGGAAUUACUGGGCGUAAAGGGUUCGUAGGUGGCUUGUUAAGUCAGACGUGAAAUCCCUCGGCUCAACCGGGGAACUGCGUCUGAGACUGAUGAGCUCGAGUGCAGGAGAGGAACGCGGAAUUCCGGGUGUAGCGGUGGAAUGCGUAGAGAUCCGGAAGAACACCGGUGGCGAAGGCGGUCUGCUGGGCAGUUGCUGACACUGAGGCGCGACAGCGUGGGGAGCAAACAGG